This is a non-coding RNA of Sphaeroforma arctica JP610, 74 nucleotides long. The record is from Rfam. Lineage: Eukaryota; Ichthyosporea; Ichthyophonida.
CAGAGUGUAGUUCAAUCCGGUAGAAUAUUCCCUUUGGGAGGGAAAGGUUAUCGGUUCAAUUCCGGUCUCUCUGA